RNAcentral lists this ribosomal RNA (253 nucleotides) under uncultured bacterium. RNAcentral's name for it is "partial 16S ribosomal RNA". It matches the Rfam family "Bacterial small subunit ribosomal RNA", at positions 524 to 776 of the family's 1533-position model. The record is from RNAcentral.
UACGUAGGGUGCAAGCGUUAAUCGGAAUUACUGGGCGUAAAGCGUGCGCAGGCGGUUUUGUAAGACAGAUGUGAAAUCCCCGGGCUCAACCUGGGAAUUGCAUCUGUGACUGCAUAGCUAGAGUACGGUAGAGGGGGAUGGAAUUCCGCGUGUAGCAGUGAAAUGCGUAGAUAUGCGGAGGAACACCGAUGGCGAAGGCAAUCCCCUGGACCUGUACUGACGCUCAUGCACGAAAGCGUGGGGAGCAAACAGG